This 253-nucleotide ribosomal RNA is filed under the name uncultured bacterium. Its description in RNAcentral is "partial 16S ribosomal RNA". It matches the Rfam family "Bacterial small subunit ribosomal RNA", at positions 524 to 776 of the family's 1533-position model. The record is from RNAcentral.
UACGUAGGGGGCAAGCGUUGUCCGGAAUCAUUGGGCGUAAAGAGCGUGUAGGCGGCCCGGUAAGUCCGCCGUGAAAGUCCAGGGCUCAACCCUGGAAUGCCGGUGGAUACUGUCGGGCUAGAGUCCGGAAGGGGCGAGUGGAAUUCCCGGUGUAGCGGUGAAAUGCGCAGAUAUCGGGAGGAACACCAAUUGCGAAGGCAGCUCGCUGGGACGUGACUGACGCUGAGACGCGAAAGCGUGGGGAGCAAACAGG